CGCGCGCUCUCGCCGGGCUCGAGCCGGCGGCAUCUCCCCUCCCUCCCCUCAGUCCCGCUCGGCAGCCGCGGCGGCAGCAGCAGCAGCAGGAGUAGCCGCCUGGGUAGCGGUGCCGCCGCCGUCUCAUCCUCCUCAUCGUUCUCUUUCCCCCCCCACCCCAUCCCACCCCAGCCAAACCCCGUGUCACGAUGCAGUUUAUGUUGCUUUUCAGUCGUCAGGGGAAACUGAGACUCCAGAAGUGGUAUGUCCCAUUAUCUGACAAAGAAAAGAAGAAAAUCACAAGGGAACUUGUUCAAACAGUAUUAGCCCGCAAACCGAAAAUGUGCAGCUUCCUGGAAUGGAGAGACCUGAAGAUUGUCUACAAAAGAUACGCAAGCCUCUAUUUCUGCUGUGCUAUUGAAGAUCAGGACAAUGAACUAAUAACUCUGGAAAUAAUUCAUCGCUAUGUAGAACUCCUUGACAAGUAUUUUGGCAGUGUAUGUGAACUUGAUAUCAUCUUCAAUUUUGAAAAAGCCUAUUUCAUUCUGGAUGAGUUCCUUUUGGGAGGGGAAGUUCAGGAGACUUCCAAGAAAAAUGUUCUCAAAGCCAUUGAACAGGCAGAUCUUUUGCAGGAGAGCCAGAAUGAAGACUGGGGAGGUUUGUCUGAGGAUAUCUUAUGAUUAAGAGACAAUCUAAGACAUUAGUCCUUUUGACCCCCAUCUAAAUGAUUGGAUGCUAAAGAAGCAGAGACCCCACGUAGUGUACUUGAAGAAAUUGGAUUGACAUAAAUCUUCACUUCAGCUGAUGACAUCUCAGUGUUUCAUACUGUAAAUGUUCACUCUCUUCAUUGUAAUGUUUAGCUAAUGGUGUAAGAUGCUGUUUGUCAGUAUUACUGUUUUGCUAAGCUGCUUCAUUCAGGCCUACAAGAAAAAUACUCUUUUGAAAAGGGAACAAGGAACUAAAGUCCAAAAAUCACAAAUGAAAGGGAAUUGGAUAUAAAUUGACUCAGUGUCUCCCUUCACUGCGUAUUUAUAGGAAGAUUGCAUUUGACUACGAUGAGCGUACUGUUUUUUAUAAGCAAACUUAACUUCAGGAAAUAAAUAUCAUUAUGACAUAGCAUAUCUAAAUGAAAAGAAACUACAUGGACAACUCCAAAUACAAAAUGUUAUGAUGUAGAAAUUGUGUUUAUGCAACCAAAGACUUCUGUUCAUCUGCAUUUUAGUCAACACUUGUGAUAAUUCUGCUUAUUUCAGUUGAUGCAUAAAGAUUGGAAAUACCUGUUUACUACUGAAUUUGUCAUUAUACCAAAGAAUCCUGUUGGGAUCUGCAUAUCAAACUGGUAAAAACUGUUAAGGUGACAGUGCUUUUUGCAAGAAAACUGUAAACUGAUUGAUUCACUAGAAAUGAAGGUGUAUUUAAGUGUAGCUACCUUGAGCAAAACUGUGCAAGUUACUCUACUAAAAAGGGAAUGCGUGUAGUAAAAAAAAAAAUCAUUCCAAAUAAGGAAAUUGGUUUUAGAUCUGAUAUUAGCUUACUGUUAAUGAAAACGCAAGGAAGGAGAUAGGCUUUCUCACUGUGUAGAGAGGUACAUAAUGCAAAUUGAAUACUUUUGAAGGUGGGGAAAAAAAAGGAGCUUUACAAAAGGGACUUUUUAUUAUUUUCUUUCAAACUACAAAUUGAUUUGUAUUUAUUGGUGUUUUAUAGUUAUGCUUUAAUCAGUGUAUGGGUACCUUUAAACCCCACCCCCCACUGUAAGUGUCAAUGUCAUUUUAACUCCUUUUCUUGACUUACACACGUGACACAACCCUUACGAGACUCCUGCGUGAUGUACAGUUUAACCGAGCAAUUUGCAGUGAGAGCUUUUAAAUAUUAGAUUUGUAUACUAGAUUUACUGCAAAUCCUGUAAAGUGAUACCGAGUAAUAUUUUGACACUUGUAGCAGACUUUUCAGUCAUUAGAAACUAAACCUCUUUCCCUUGAGGAAGUUUGAUUGGCGUGUGCUUUUUGAGUUCCGAGGAGGCAGUGGCCACGCUCUGGAGUAGCCAAGUUCUGCUGUGUCCCUGAGACGAUGGGGCUGCUCCCCUCCCUUCCCACCCCUCUAACUUCCCUCUGGGAGUCAAGGCUUUGGCUUGUUCACUUGAGUACCACGUAGUGCCACGUUUUCACAGCGCUCAGCUUCGGCGGCGUGGCUGGAAGCAGCCCUGUGCUGCCAGCAUAAGCAUUAACACAGCCAUCUGGGGAGCGAGACUGCGGGCUCCGCGCCAUCCAGGCUAAAUUUAACCCACUGGGAAAGACUCUGUGUUGCUGCCUGCAAGUCCCCUGAUCCAGAUCCCAGAAGGGCCAGCCAGGGCUGGGGUGGGUCUGAGGUCUGGUGGCAGUGCUGGGGGGCAGCACGUGAGUUUACGGUGUUAGAAUUUGGCUACUUGUGCCCUUUCUGGGAUUUAAGCAUAUCCCGUUGCUAGAGUUUUACAGAUUGCUAUUUUACCUAGGGCAGGGGAAACCAGUGGUGUGCAGGUCCCCAGCCUGCAGGGAUAGGGGAGGCUGAAGGGGCAGCAGAGUGGCCCUGGGUGUGAGUUUGAAGUGGUAAACUCACCUUAAUUUAAAAGUCAAACCCGAAGCAAUUUUCUAUGUAUUAAACAUGUUUUUAAAGUUUACACUGUCACUUGUAUGUGCUUGGCUGGAGUAAGCUUUGUUGUGAUUGUGACAAAUAAACUGUUUGACCUCUGUCUGUCACGUUGGUUUAGUUGUAAUAAAUGUCCAUUUUUACACCAUU
Molecule: RNA transcript, 2751 nt
Organism: Calidris pugnax (ruff)
Lineage: Eukaryota; Metazoa; Chordata; Aves; Charadriiformes; Scolopacidae
Gene: AP1S2
Gene name: adaptor-related protein complex 1 sigma 2 subunit
Exons: 7
Source: RefSeq, a predicted model, not a curated record